This 709-nucleotide ribosomal RNA is filed under the name Pimephales promelas (fathead minnow). RNAcentral describes it as "partial small subunit ribosomal RNA". It matches the Rfam family "Bacterial small subunit ribosomal RNA", at positions 8 to 1209 of the family's 1533-position model. Lineage: Eukaryota; Metazoa; Chordata; Actinopteri; Cypriniformes; Leuciscidae. The record is from RNAcentral.
CAAAGGCAUGGUCCCGACCUUAUUAUCAACUCUAGCCCAACUUACACAUGCAAGUCUCCGCAGCCCCGUGAGUAAGCCCUCAAUCCCCUGCCCGGGGACGAGGAGCAGGCAUCAGGCACAAAUCUUUAGCCCAAGACGCCAGGCCGAGCCACACCCCCAAGGGAAUUCAGCAGUGAUAAAUAUUAAGCCAUAAGUGAAAACUUGACUCAGUCAGAGCUAAGAGGGCCGGUAAAACUCGUGCCAGCCACCGCGGUUAAACGAGAGGCCCUAGUUGAUAGUACAACGGCGUAAAGGGUGGUUAAGGACAGCGAAUCAAUAAAGUCGAAUGGCCCUUUGGCUGUUAUACGCUUCUAGGAGUCCGAAGUCCAAUAUACGAAAGUAACUUUAAGAACGCCCACCUGACCCCACGAAAGCUGAGAAACAAACUGGGAUUAGAUACCCCACUAUGCUCAGUCAUAAACCCAGACGUCCAGCUACAAUUAGACGUCCGCCCGGGUACUACGAGCAUUAGCUUGAAACCCGAAGGACCUGACGGUGCCUCAGACCCCCCUAGAGGAGCCUGUUCUAGAACCGAUAACCCCCGUUAAACCUCACCGCUUCUAGCCAUCCCAGCCUAUAUACCGCCGUCGUCAGCUUACCCUGUGAAGGCAAUAAAAGUAAGCAAAAUGGGCACAACCCAGAACGUCAGGUCGAGGUGUAGCGUACGAAG